UGCUGUGGCUAUGUCUGGCUGUGACAUCUGUCAUUCUAUUGAUUCUCGAGACUCAUCUUCCUGAUCUGGCUGAUGGGUGGGUGCCCCUCUGCCUCACUCUGUUAGGGGCAUCCUUGCAGAAACUUUGUGCUCAGAGAAUUUCUUUUCCAGGGAACAGUCUUCAGUCAAAGUAUAUGAGCAUUUUCUGUCGUUGUUAUAAUCUCCAAACAGACCAUCCAGGUCUACUUU
Molecule: small RNA, 228 nt
Filed under: Vulpes vulpes (red fox)
Lineage: Eukaryota; Metazoa; Chordata; Mammalia; Carnivora; Canidae
Description: 7SK RNA (ENSVVUG00000028422.1)
Rfam family: 7SK RNA
About the family: 7SK was discovered as an abundant small nuclear RNA in the mid-70s but a possible function has only recently been suggested. Two independent studies have found that 7SK RNA binds the CDK9/cyclin T complex (known as elongation factor P-TEFb).
Source: RNAcentral